This 125-nucleotide small RNA is filed under the name Marmota monax (woodchuck). The record is from RNAcentral. Lineage: Eukaryota; Metazoa; Chordata; Mammalia; Rodentia; Sciuridae.
GCUGGGUGUGGUGGUGCAUGCCUGUAAUCCCAGCAGCUCAAGAAGCUAAGGCAGGAGGAUCUCAAGGUCAAAGCCAGCCUCAGCUAAGGCUAGGCACUAAGCAACUCAGUGAGAUUCUGUCUCUA